GACGAACGCUGGCGGCGUGCUUAACACAUGCAAGUCGAACGGAAAGGCCCUGCUUUUGUGGGGUGCUCGAGUGGCGAACGUGUGAGUAACACGUGAGUAACCUGCCCUUGACUUUGGGAUAACUUCAGGAAACUGGGGCUAAUACCGGAUAGGAGCUCCUGCUGCAUGGUGGGGGUUGGAAAGUUUCGGCGGUUGGGGAUGGACUCGCGGCUUAUCAGCUUGUUGGUGGGGUAGUGGCUUACCAAGGCUUUGACGGGUAGCCGGCCUGAGAGGGUGACCGGCGACAUGGGGACUGAGAUACGGCCCAGACUCCUACGGGAGGCAGCAGUGGGGAAUAUUGCACAAUGGGCGGAAGCCUGAUGCAGCAACGCCGCGUGCGGGAUGACGGCCUUCGGGUUGUAAACCGCUUUCGCCUGUGACGAAGCGUGAGUGACGGUAAUGGGUAAAGAAGCACCGGCUAACUACGUG
Molecule: ribosomal RNA, 468 nt
Filed under: uncultured bacterium
Lineage: Bacteria
Description: partial 16S ribosomal RNA
Rfam family: Bacterial small subunit ribosomal RNA
Source: RNAcentral